This 253-nucleotide ribosomal RNA is filed under the name uncultured bacterium. RNAcentral's name for it is "partial 16S ribosomal RNA". It matches the Rfam family "Bacterial small subunit ribosomal RNA", at positions 524 to 776 of the family's 1533-position model. The record is from RNAcentral.
UACGAAGGGGGCUAGCGUUGUUCGGAAUUACUGGGCGUAAAGCGUGCGCAGGCGGCUUCUCAAGUCAGGGGUGAAAGCCCAGAACUCAACUCUGGAAUUGCCUUUGAGACUGAGUGGCUUGAGUACGAGAGAGGUGAGUGGAAUUCCCAGUGUAGAGGUGAAAUUCGUAGAUAUUGGGAAGAACACCGGUGGCGAAGGCGGCUCACUGGCUCGUAACUGACGCUCAUGCACGACAGCGUGGGGAUCAAACAGG